Molecule: transfer RNA, 66 nt
Filed under: Marmota monax (woodchuck)
Lineage: Eukaryota; Metazoa; Chordata; Mammalia; Rodentia; Sciuridae
Description: tRNA.Ala
Source: RNAcentral
GGUUUGUAGCUCAGUGGUAGAGCACUUGCCUAGCAAGAGAGAUACGGGGUUCUAUCCUCAGCACCA